AUGGGCACAAGCUUUUCAACUUCAGUUUAACGUCUCCUAUCCCGAAAUUCCCUCAUGGUGUACUCAGCGAAGAUGGGUUUUACAAGGUGGCAGUGAACGAAUCUGUGCUUUGGUUUCAGCUAUGCAAUGGAAUGAUUUUUAAUCACGAUCCACCUAGAUGUGUUGACUGCCAGGAUUGUGGGGGCCCAUUACAUUGUGGCAUGGAAUGUAGUGCACUUCUGGCAAACAACAAAGGAGGUUAUGAUGUAUGCACUACCAUUGGAGACGUCUCAAGCACUAUCACUAGCAUCAUUGAUAAGCAGAAUCCACAAAAGGGUGUCAUUGUUACGAUGUCAAAUUAUGUUAAGACGUCCUCUGGCUCUGAGAAUUGUUCACUCUCUGUAUCUGUCAUUUGCGAUUCAAAUGGUGUUCAAGGGCCACAUUCA
This 425-nucleotide unclassified non-coding RNA is filed under the name Hevea brasiliensis (rubber tree). Lineage: Eukaryota; Viridiplantae; Streptophyta; Magnoliopsida; Malpighiales; Euphorbiaceae. The record is from RNAcentral.